CGCUGGCGGCGUGCCUAAUACAUGCAAGUCGAGCGGACUUGCUGGAGCUUGCUCCAGCAGGUUAGCGGCGGACGGGUGAGUAACACGUGGGCAACCUGCCUGUAAGACUGGGAUAACUCCGGGAAACCGGAGCUAAUACCGGAUAGUAUCUUGAACCGCAUGGUUCAAGUUGGAAAGACGGUUUCGGCUGUCACUUACAGAUGGGCCCGCGGCGCAUUAGCUAGUUGGUGAGGUAAUGGCUCACCAAGGCAACGAUGCGUAGCCGACCUGAGAGGGUGAUCGGCCACACUGGGACUGAGACACGGCCCAGACUCCUACGGGAGGCAGCAGUAGGGAAUCUUCCGCAAUGGACGAAAGUCUGACGGAGCAACGCCGCGUGAGUGAUGAAGGUUUUCGGAUCGUAAAACUCUGUUGUUAGGGAAGAACAAGUGCGAGAGUAACUGCUCGCACCUUGACGGUACCUAACCAGAAAGCCACGGCUAACUACGUGCCAGCAGCCGCGGUAAUACGUAGGUGGCAAGCGUUGUCCGGAAUUAUUGGGCGUAAAGCGCGCGCAGGCGGUUUCUUAAGUCUGAUGUGAAAGCCCCCGGCUCAACCGGGGAGGGUCAUUGGAAACUGGGAAACUUGAGUGCAGAAGAGGAGAGUGGAAUUCCACGUGUAGCGGUGAAAUGCGUAGAGAUGUGGAGGAACACCAGUGGCGAAGGCGACUCUCUGGUCUGUAACUGACGCUGAGGCGCGAAAGCGUGGGGAGCGAACAGGAUUAGAUACCCUGGUAGUCCACGCCGUAAACGAUGAGUGCUAAGUGUUAGAGGGUUUCCGCCCUUUAGUGCUGCAGCUAACGCAUUAAGCACUCCGCCUGGGGAGUACGGUCGCAAGACUGAAACUCAAAGGAAUUGACGGGGGCCCGCACAAGCGGUGGAGCAUGUGGUUUAAUUCGAAGC
This 941-nucleotide ribosomal RNA is filed under the name Metabacillus idriensis. RNAcentral describes it as "bacterial SSU rRNA". It matches the Rfam family "Bacterial small subunit ribosomal RNA", at positions 34 to 957 of the family's 1533-position model. The record is from RNAcentral. Lineage: Bacteria; Bacillati; Bacillota; Bacilli; Caryophanales; Bacillaceae.